Lolium perenne is the source of this 1577-nucleotide long non-coding RNA. RefSeq lists it as uncharacterized. Lineage: Eukaryota; Viridiplantae; Streptophyta; Magnoliopsida; Poales; Poaceae. The record is from RefSeq and is a predicted model, not a curated record.
CCAACUACUCGUGGAAGACCAGGGCUUCCUGGAGCAUGAGAUGUCCAGGUUGUAUGGGGUCCAGGCAAUCCCAUUCUUUCUAGCGUCUCAUGGCCGUGUUUGCGUGUUUUGGUAUGGUUACUGCAGUUGGUUGGUACCAUUGCUAUAUCUACCUGUAGCUGUUGUGCUAUUUCUGAAGUUGCUUUGUUUCCUGAAUUAUUUUGCUAUUGUUUCUUGAAGUUGAGGAAAUUUUGUUGCUGUUAUGACCUGGUGAUGUGGAGGUAAUAGAACCUCCUCACAUAGUUCCCUUUGAAGUAUUUGCUGUAUAUCUUAUUCUUGUGUUGGUGAGAUGCUUUUCUUUUCUUCUGCAAAGCGAGUGUUGAUGGAGUAGUACAGCAGCCACAAGCAUUUGAUUCAUUAUGAUUUUUUCGCGUAGUUGAUCAUGCCCUGAUGCCAUUUUUUUGUAUUUUAUUUGGAAGAGUGUUGUUUUCUUUAUUUAACAUGUUUAAAUAGCUGAUCAACGUGCUAGUAGUUUUUUUUGGAGUAGUUCCAUGAUUACUACAGAAGCAAGAAUCUGAUUUGUGACCAUUCUUAAGAGCUUUAGUAGUAUAUAUAAAGGCUAUUAACUGCUAUGGUCUGCUUCAUUUGUGUGUAUUAAUCAUGCAACUUUUGAUCCUAAGAGAGAUGUCCAUAUCUGCACCUAAUUAGUUACAUAAACUGAAAUACUUAAUGGUAGUUUCCUAACGUAAUUGCUUACUCGAAAUUCUGUGUUCUUUCCCAUGAUCUGUAUAUAUGUAGUGCUUAGUGCUGGCCAUGUAUUGUUUACUAGAAAUUCUUUGUCUGUUCUGUCCAUUCCAACUAACCUAGCUGGCCAUUUAUUUUCACAAAACUGUUCUUGACCAUACUCCUUUGUUUAUUUCAGCAAGGUAUCCAAGUCUGGUGCUUCCAUGAGGUACCCAGGUUCCCAUGGUUCAGGCAUGAAAGUGGCUAUCCGUUAGCGGGAUCAAGUGUUAUUAUGUGUGUUGUCUCUUAGGGGAUUUCAAGUUGGUGGGGCUGGUUAGGAGGUAUCCAUGGCCGCCAGAUCUAUCCAGUUUGCAGCGGUUGCCUUCGUCUUCGACUUGGUGGGUUUAGUAUCUUGUGUUGAUCUCCAAGAGGAUAUAUAUAUCGUGGAGAACGGGUGGAUGGCAGCAAGGAACCUGCAGUGCGAUGCGUCAUCCGAUGUGACCUGGAAGAGACAAUGAAGGAAGCAGCUGACUUGAGUACAUGCCUUGCUCUGUCUGUACGACAACUAUCUUUAUUCAAUCGGGAUGUAGUGUAGUGCAGUACCGCCGGCAUUUCAGAUUCAGAGGAAUCUCGUAUGGCAUCUUGUCCGUGUUGUAUGUAACCGACCGUCCUAGGAUGGGGUUGCGGAUGCAUCAGCUUUUGCUUUGCUUUGAUGCUGAUGGCGGUUGGUUUUUUUUUUUUUUUUGUCCCCAUUGAUUGGAUCGAGUUGGGGUUGAAUGUGUAUGCCAAGCGUGUGUGUUGAAUUGAAGUAUGGUAUUUGCUGUGCAGGUUUGGAUGCCAAAAUUUUGAGCAUGCACUCCCUGGCAUUUUGGUCA